GUUUUAAUAGUUUAAAUAAAACAUUGGUCUUGUAAACCGAAAAUAAGAUCUAUUCUUUUAAAACU
Molecule: transfer RNA, 65 nt
Filed under: Antarctoperla michaelseni
Lineage: Eukaryota; Metazoa; Arthropoda; Insecta; Plecoptera; Gripopterygidae
Description: tRNA-Thr
Rfam family: tRNA
About the family: Transfer RNA (tRNA) molecules are approximately 80 nucleotides in length. Their secondary structure includes four short double-helical elements and three loops (D, anti-codon, and T loops).
Source: RNAcentral